GCGCGAGUUCAUUUUCUCCCGCUGGAGUGGUUCGGCGUGGCGUGAUGGCGGGUGAGGCAUUAACUCUGGCUGGAUCCAGUGCAAUCCUUCGCGGAGUUUUGUUUCUAAGGGGAUGCGGGCCCGAAGUGAGGACGGGGGAUGGGGAGGGAAGAGAAGAGAGAGAGAGAGAAAGUGAAUUGGCUCCGAUGGCUCCGUCUGCCUCUUCGUUAUUUUUUACGGUUCGAAGAGUUUCGCUUCUAGGAGCUGGAAACCUCGGCCACGCGGGCGUUUUCUGAUGGUGGCAUGAUGCGUUCGGGGUGACAGAUCUCGAUUGCAAAGAUCCCGACGGUCAUUAGACGGCAGGAGUCAGAGACGGAAUGGCCUUUGCUGCUGCUUCGUAGUCGCCCUGGAACGCGCAGCAUUAUCAUACAACAUGGAAACAUCUCAAGUCUCUGUGGAUUGGAAGACAUAACUCCAUCAGCUUGCAUGCAUGAGGUUGCAUUUAUUUGUCAUGGGAGUCAACCCAGGCAGGAAUGCAGGACUUAACUUCAUUGUAAGCUCUAAUCCCAAGAAAAUCCUUUUGAAGAAAGGGGUGUUAGUGAUGCAUCUCUUCUGAUCUACAUUCCAAGAACGAUAUCAGCAUUUAAGGGUAAUAAAAGCAGUCCAAACCACCUCUGAAAUUUUUCCCUGGAAGCAGAGUUCCAUGUAUACCUGCUGGGAAUGGGAGAGACAAGAUUAUACCUGGAUGGAAUCAUAAAUAGAUGGUUUGAGAGUCGUCCCCCCACCCCACCCCCCGCAAUUUCUUGUCUAUGGAUGUAUAAGUAGCAGCAUCCACAGGGAGAUUAAAACAGGCAAGGGGAUGUCCACAUUACCCAUCAACACAUCAACGUGUACAAAAGGUGCAGAGGUUCAAUUGUAUGCUACAACCAGCCACCAGCCAUCUGAUUUGACAAGCUACAUUCACCCACCCCAGACAAUAAUGCCUGCUAUUCUACAAUUCCCAGAAUCCAAUGACCAAUACAUCAACAGAGCAUCAGGUCGAGAUACACUUGGCCACCUUCUUUUGAUCCUUAGUUGGGGGCACAAGCUGUAUGAAUGCAAGUCUACCUUGCCCCACUACUAUUUAAUCUACAAGACGUUCCACGGAACAUAUUUAACUCACUGUUCACAAGUUUUAAAAAGUUGCAAGGUGAUUGAAUCUGAAUUUGUACACCCCAGGAUGCUAAACCUUAUCCUUUAUACUGCAGUCCUUAAGGACUCAAGCUGCAACUUUUAUUGAGAGAGGGAUUUUUGGUUAAGGGCAAUAGGGCCCUUAAUACAAAAAGUAUUAACCACCUUUUCCUGCUGUCUUAAUCAUGGACCUUUAUGCAGUUCUUCUUGACAACUUUGAGAUGUGAAUAAUGCUGACCGGGAAAUUCUGGGAAUUGUCAUCCACUCAGCUUAAAUUUGCCAAGGUUGAGAAACACUGCCCCUAUGACUUCUCUUUUGAGAGAAAACUACAUCCAUAUGCAGACACAGAUGAUGACAGACUUCAUCUUUAAUACAAAGAGCAAUUUAAAUCUUUAAUGUAGUAUCUGAUGCAUAGUAGGAGUGGAAGUCCACUGUG
Pseudonaja textilis is the source of this 1585-nucleotide non-coding RNA. Lineage: Eukaryota; Metazoa; Chordata; Lepidosauria; Squamata; Elapidae. The record is from RefSeq and is a predicted model, not a curated record.